AAGCCAUAUGAAGAUUUGAAGACUGGAAAAUACAAAGUAAAGGUAAAUGGCACCUUAAGAUGUCCAUUCUGUGCUGGGAAAAAGAAGCAGGAUUACAAGUACAAGGAUUUGCUUCAACAUGCAUCAGGAGUGGCUAAGGGUUCUGCCAACAGGAGUGGAAAACAAAAGGCAAACCAUCUUGCCCUAGCAAUGUAUUUGGAAAAUGACCUAGUAAAUGAAGCAGAUCAAAUUCAACGUCCAGUUUUGCC
This 248-nucleotide unclassified non-coding RNA is filed under the name Hevea brasiliensis (rubber tree). The record is from RNAcentral. Lineage: Eukaryota; Viridiplantae; Streptophyta; Magnoliopsida; Malpighiales; Euphorbiaceae.